RNAcentral lists this ribosomal RNA (497 nucleotides) under uncultured bacterium. RNAcentral describes it as "bacterial SSU rRNA". It matches the Rfam family "Bacterial small subunit ribosomal RNA", at positions 28 to 523 of the family's 1533-position model. The record is from RNAcentral.
GAUGAACGCUAGCGGGAGGCCUAAUACAUGCAAGUCGAGCGGUAGAGUGACUUCGGUUGCUUGAGAGCGGCGAACGGGUGAGUAACGCGUACACAAUCUACCUUUAAGAGGGGAAUAGCCCUGGGAAACUGGGAUUAAUGCCCCAUGGCAUCACGAGACGGCAUCGUUUUGUGAUUAAAGCUGAGGUGCUUAGAGAUGAGUGUGCGUCUGAUUAGCUAGUUGGUGCGGUAACGGCGCACCAAGGCGACGAUCAGUAGGGGGCGUGAGAGCGUGGACCCCCUACACGGGUACUGAGACACGGACCCGACUCCUACGGGAGGCAGCAGUAAGGAAUAUUGGUCAAUGGAGGAAACUCUGAACCAGCCAUCCCGCGUGCAGGGAGAAUGCCCUAUGGGUUGUAAACUGCUUUUAUCUGGGAAGAAAAGUCGGGAUUUAUCCUGAUCUGACGGUACCAGAGGAAUAAGCACCGGCUAACUUCGUGCCAGCAGCCGCGGUAA